RNAcentral lists this ribosomal RNA (482 nucleotides) under uncultured bacterium. RNAcentral's name for it is "partial 16S ribosomal RNA". It matches the Rfam family "Bacterial small subunit ribosomal RNA", at positions 30 to 507 of the family's 1533-position model. The record is from RNAcentral.
AUUGAACGCUGGCGGCAUGCCUUACACAUGCAAGUCGAACGGUAACGAGCCUUCGGGUGCCGACGAGUGGCGAACGGGUGAGUAAUACAUCGGAACGUGCCCGAUCGUGGGGGAUAACGAGGCGAAAGCUUUGCUAAUACCGCAUACGAUCUACGGAUGAAAGCAGGGGACCGCAAGGCCUUGCGCGGACGGAGCGGCCGAUGGCAGAUUAGGUAGUUGGUGGGGUAAAAGCUUACCAAGCCGACGAUCUGUAGCUGGUCUGAGAGGAUGAUCAGCCACACUGGGACUGAGACACGGCCCAGACUCCUACGGGAGGCAGCAGUGGGGAAUUUUGGACAAUGGGCGCAAGCCUGAUCCAGCCAUGCCGCGUGCAGGAUGAAGGCCUUCGGGUUGUAAACUGCUUUUGUACGGAACGAAAAGCCUUCUUUUAAUACAGGAGGGUCAUGACGGUACCGUAAGAAUAAGCACCGGCUAACUACGUG